GACGAACGCUGGCGGCGUGCUUAACACAUGCAAGUCGAACGGAAAGGCCCUGCUUUUGUGGGGUGCUCGAGUGGCGAACGGGUGAGUAACACGUGAGUAACCUGCCCUUGACUUUGGGAUAACUUCAGGAAACUGGGGCUAAUACCGGAUAGGAGCUCCUGCUGCAUGGUGGGGGUUGGAAAGUUUCGGCGGUUGGGGAUGGACUCGCGGCUUAUCAGCUUGUUGGUGGGGUUGUGGCUUACCAAGGCUUUGACGGGUAGCCGGCCUGAGAGGGUGAACGGCCACAUUGGGACUGAGAGACGGCCCAGACGCCUACGGGAGGCAGCAGUGGGGAAUAUUGCACAAUGGGCGGAAGCCUGAUGCAGCAACGCCGCGUGCGGGAUGACGGCCUUCGGGGUGUAAACCGCUUUCGCCUGUGACGAAGCGUGAGUGACGGUAAUGGGUAAAGAAGCACCGGCUAACUACGUG
RNAcentral lists this ribosomal RNA (468 nucleotides) under uncultured bacterium. RNAcentral's name for it is "partial 16S ribosomal RNA". It matches the Rfam family "Bacterial small subunit ribosomal RNA", at positions 28 to 507 of the family's 1533-position model. The record is from RNAcentral.